CCUACGGGUGGCAGCAGUGGGGAAUAUUGCACAAUGGGGGAAACCCUGAUGCAGCGACGCCGCGUGAGUGAAGAAGUAAUUCGGUAUGUAAAGCACUAUCAGCAGGGAAGAAAAUGACGGUACCUGAGUAAGAAGCCCCGGCUAACUACGUGCCAGCAGCCGCGGUAAUACGUAGGGGACAAGCGUUAUCCGGAUUUACUGGGUGUAAAGGGAGCGUAGACGGCAGUGCAAGUCUGGAGUGAAAGGCGGGGGCUCAACCCCCGGACUGCUCUGGAAACUGGACGGCUGGAGUGCAGGAGAGGUAAGUAGAAUUCCUAGUGUAGCGGUGAAAUGCGUAGAUAUUAGGAGGAACACCAGUGGCGAAGGCGGCUUACUGGACUGUAACUGACGUUGAGGCUCGAAAGCGUGGGGAGCAAACAGGAUUAGAUACCCCUGUAGUC
Molecule: ribosomal RNA, 440 nt
Filed under: uncultured bacterium
Lineage: Bacteria
Description: partial 16S ribosomal RNA
Rfam family: Bacterial small subunit ribosomal RNA
Source: RNAcentral